GCAAGUCUACUUGAACUUCGGUUUGGGUGGCGGACGGGUGAGUAACGCGUAAAGAACUUGCCUCACAGUUAGGGACAACAUUUGGAAACGAAUGCUAAUACCUGAUAUUAUGAUUUUAGGGCAUCCUAAGAUUAUGAAAGCUAUAUGCGCUGUGAGAGAGCUUUGCGUCCCAUUAGCUAGUUGGAGAGGUAACAGCUCACCAAGGCGAUGAUGGGUAGCCGGCCUGAGAGGGUGAACGGCCACAAGGGGACUGAGACACGGCCCUUACUCCUACGGGAGGCAGCAGUGGGGAAUAUUGGACAAUGGACCAAAAGUCUGAUCCAGCAAUUCUGUGUGCACGAUGACGUUUUUCGGAAUGUAAAGUGCUUUCAGUUGGGAAGAAAAAAAUGACGGUACCAACAGAAGAAGUGACGGCUAAAUACGUGCCAGCAGCCGCGGUAAUACGUAUGUCACAAGCGUUAUCCGGAUUUAUUGGGCGUAAAGCGCGUCUAGGUGGUUAUGUAAGUCUGAUGUGAAAAUGCAGGGCUCAACUCUGUAUUGCGUUGGAAACUGCAUGACUAGAGUACUGGAGAGGUAGGCGGAACUACAAGUGUAGAGGUGAAAUUCGUAGAUAUUUGUAGGAAUGCCGAUGGGGAAGCCAGCUUACUGGACAGAUACUGACGCUAAAGCGCGAAAGCGUGGGUAGCAAACAGGAUUAGAU
Molecule: ribosomal RNA, 700 nt
Filed under: uncultured bacterium
Lineage: Bacteria
Description: bacterial SSU rRNA
Rfam family: Bacterial small subunit ribosomal RNA
Source: RNAcentral